GAUAAACGCUGGCGGCGUGCCUAACACAUGCAAGUCGAACGAAGCAGUAGCAAUACUGACUGAGUGGCGGAAGGGUGAGUAACACGUAGGAAUCUACCUCAUCGGAGGGAACAACCAGUCGAAAGAUUGGCUAAUACCCAAAAGGAUUGGCGACAAUCAGAGUCGAAAGGCCUGGUGAGAGGAGCCUGCGGCCCAUCAGCUAGUUGGCAGGGUAAUGGCCUACCAAGGCAACGACGGGUAGGGGGUCUGAGAGGACGUCCCCCCAACUGGAACUGAAACACGGUCCAGACGCCUACGGGUGGCAGCAGUGAGGAAUAUUGGUCAAUGGGCGAAAGCCCGAACCAGCAACGCCGCGUGGAGGAUGAAGGUUUUCGGACUGUAAACUUCUUUUCGGGGAGACGAGAAAGGACGGUAUCCCCGGAAUAAGCCACGGCAAACUACGUG
This 444-nucleotide ribosomal RNA is filed under the name uncultured bacterium. RNAcentral describes it as "bacterial SSU rRNA". It matches the Rfam family "Bacterial small subunit ribosomal RNA", at positions 28 to 507 of the family's 1533-position model. The record is from RNAcentral.